CGUCGGCGGGGGCCUCGGGAA
This 21-nucleotide small nuclear RNA is filed under the name Arabidopsis thaliana (thale cress). Its description in RNAcentral is "snRNA_06042". The record is from RNAcentral. Lineage: Eukaryota; Viridiplantae; Streptophyta; Magnoliopsida; Brassicales; Brassicaceae.